RNAcentral lists this ribosomal RNA (497 nucleotides) under uncultured bacterium. Its description in RNAcentral is "partial 16S ribosomal RNA". It matches the Rfam family "Bacterial small subunit ribosomal RNA", at positions 28 to 507 of the family's 1533-position model. The record is from RNAcentral.
GACGAACGCUGGCGGCGUGCCUAAUACAUGCAAGUUGAGCGCUGAAGGUUGGUACUUGUACCAAAUGGAUGAGCAGCGAACGGGUGAGUAACGCGUGGGGAAUCUGCCUUUGAGCGGGGGACAACAUUUGGAAACGAAUGCUAAUACCGCAUAAAAACUUUAAACACAAGUUUUAAGUUUGAAAGAUGCAAUUGCAUCACUCAAAGAUGAUCCCGCGUUGUAUUAGCUAGUUGGUGAGGUAAAGGCUCACCAAGGCGAUGAUACAUAGCCGACCUGAGAGGGUGAGCGGCCACAUUGGGACUGAGACACGACCCAAACUCCUACGGGAGGCAGCAGUAGGGAAUCUUCGGCAAUGGACGAAAGUCUGACCGAGCAACGCCGCGUGAGUGAAGAAGGUUUUCGGAUCGUAAAACUCUGUUGGUAGAGAAGAACGUUGGUGAGAGUGGAAAGCUCAUCAAGUGACGGUAACUACCCAGAAAGGGACGGCUAACUACGUG